Molecule: non-coding RNA, 1834 nt
Organism: Coturnix japonica (Japanese quail)
Lineage: Eukaryota; Metazoa; Chordata; Aves; Galliformes; Phasianidae
Source: RefSeq, a predicted model, not a curated record
UUAAUUCCAUAACUCAGUUAUUCCAUAACUCAGCGAAACAGAAGGUGUACAGGCUCAAUUAAAACAACGCGUACCCCAAAAUAGGCUCCUUACUACAGCAAAAUAAAUAGGUAGUUCACAUGCAAAGUAGCUUAUCGCAUAUUCCUGGUAAUUAAUGUCUCAAUCUCAUCUGAGGGACCAGAGCACCUCGUGUCACAGUGAUGCACAGUACUGAGCACCAAGCCCACCUGGUGUAGCAUAGGAGAGGGAUCAUCAUCUCAGACAAGUUGGUCACCUGGUAAAAUACUGACAAGGUAUUCAGCUGGGAUAUGGAAAUCCACAUUAUGUGCCUUACAGGGAUCUGUUUGCCAACACCACUCCUGCCUCAGUGGCUGAUAACAAGAUGGCACAUGGAUUAGAGAUACCUUAGUUACAAAGGCACCAGGUCAGUCAUUCUAAAGUAUUUAACCACUUAACUCUCCGCAAAGAAAAAGACAUUGUUACCAAGACUUGCACUUGAAUUAUAAGGAAUUCUCUCCCCCCCGGACACAGAUAAAUCAGAAUCAGCCACAAUUAUAUUCAUAUUAAUCAUUAACACCAUAACAAAACCCAGUGACGAAAUGUUUUAGAGGCUCAUUAACAAGGGCAUAACGUACACACUUUUAUUUAAACAUGGCAAUUUACACAACAGCUAAUUUCCACACCUCCCCUCCCCCCAGAAAGCCUGAAAACAGGAUAUCAGAAUUAGCACCUAAUGUUCAUAAAACCAAUAAAUGCUUCGCAUUAUGAUUUACUGCAAGCAUUGGUCAGAUCCUAAGCAAUGUGGACAACAUGGAUAUAUGAAAUAACCCAACUUGCUGUCAAUGUCUGGUUCACUCAUUGCUUCACCUUACCAAGUGACUGGUUCUCCCCCAAAGACCAGCAAUGCAUAGUUUAUACAGCUGAGUAUAUGUGACAGAAAGGAACAAACCACAGUUUUGGUCUGAAGUUAUUGCAGUGCAGAUGUACAAUAUGUGUUUACAGAGCAGUGGGACAUACAGAGGUAGGUGACACUCCUCCUUCUUGCUAAGAAUUUAAUGUUGCUUAAGAGUAGCUCAAACUAAGUGGCUCUAUGUUAACUAUCUCAGCUAUGCUGCCAGGUCUGGAUGAACUGAGAGAUUUAAAAUGAUAUAUAAAGUAUCUCACUGGCAUUAAGAAAUUCCACUGCAAGAGGUUACUUGUUUUUUUUUAUAUGGGGUGAACUGUUCUUAAUUUGAAAUUCACUGAUCUGAACAUGUAGUGACAUAAUACUGUAUUCGUCUCGAUGCUCAAUAGCUUCGCAAGGUAAUUGAGGGUCAAUGGAGAUCAGAAGAGUGAUGUUUCGUGAAAAUAAAGUGCACUUUUCUGCUCAGAGCCAUGGCUCACCCUCCUGCUAAAAAGCAGCUUCUAAUUAGAUGAUCUCAUUUAUCAACCAGGGCUGUCAGAAAAGCAAUCAAGACCCAGUCCAGUGAUGGAACCUGAUGGAAACUGCCAGGCAAGGCCAGAAAAGAAAGCCACUUUGGGCAUAAUUCUCGCAUUUUCUCUUUCUCUCCCCAUUUUUGUUCUAAAUUAUGCAGUUCUUAUUAAAAAUCUUCCCUCCUACUUAUGAAGCCCGGCUCAACAUUCUCUUCACAGGUGCUACCAGCAAAGCUGUCACGUGUACCGACACACCAGAGAGAAUGUUGACAUUACAUGAAGAAACAUCAUAUUCUAGAUGGCACUUGGAAUAAAGAAAAACAAAACCACCAAAACCCAGGAGGCUGACAUGAAGAUAAAGCCCUCACGUGCAAGAACACCCUCUCUACAUUCAUCACUUACACCACCGAGCUGAUUGAAA